CCCGAAGUUAUUUGUCCCUUCGUGGACGACGGGAUGUUUGGGGACACCGGCUGGUGGAGACGGAGCCUGAGUGUUCUUCGAGGAUGAGGUUCUUUCUAAGAAGAAUUUGAUGCACAGUAUGUCAAGUCGGGGUUUGUGACAGGACCAAGAAGCUGGAGAAGAAGAUCUGGAGAAGGUUUGUGAUGGUGGGAUGGAGGAGAAGAUGGUGGGAUGGAAGAUCUGGAGAAGGUUUGUGGUGGCACUAAAGAUCUGCAGAAGGUUUCUGACAGGACCAAGAAUCUGGAGAAGGUUUGUGGUGGGACCAAGGAUCUGGAGAAGGUUUGGGGUGGUGGGAUGGAGGAGAAGAUGGUGGGACAGAAGAUCCUGAGAAGGUUUGGGGUGGUGAGACAGAAGAUCUGGAGAAGGUUUGUGAUGGUGGGAUGGAAGAUCUGGAGAAGGUUUGGGGUGGAACUAAAGAUCUACAGAAGGUUUGUGACAGGACCAAGAAUCUGGAGAAGGUUUGUGGUGGGACCAAGGAUCUGGAGAAGGUUUGGGGUGAGACUAAAGAUCUGGAGAAGGUUUGGGGUAGUGGAAUGGAGGAGAAGAUGGUGAGACAGAAGAUCCUGAGAAGGUUUGUGGUGGUGAGACAGAAGAUCUGGAGAAGGUUUGUGAUGGUGGGAUGGAGGAGAAGACAGUGGGAUGGAAGAUUUGGAGAAGGUUUGGGGUGGUAGGAUGAAGGAGAAGAUGGUGGGACCGAAAGUUUGUGAUAGGACCAAGAAUCUGGAGAAGGUUUGUGGCAGGACCAAGAAUCUGGAGAAGGUUUGUGGCAGGACCAAGGAUCUCGAGAAGGUUUGGGAUGAGACUAAAGAUCUGGAGGAGGUUUGGGGUGGUGGGUUGGAGGGGAAGAUGGUGGGACAGAAGAUCUGGAGAAGGUUUGCAUUGGAACCAAAGAGCUGAAGAAGGUUUAGGGUGGAACUACAGAUCUGGAGAAGCUUUGGGGUGGCUUAGCAGACAACACAGAGUUGAUGGAAUUGAAAUAAACAUCCCCAGGAAAGCAGAGGCCACAGGGAACGUUAUUUCGCACCCACCUUUGCUGGUGCGGAAGGUCAGCAUGGCCGGCUGGCCCUCGCCCACCGCGCUCCGCGCCACCAUCAGCACCUCAUAGAGGCUGGAGGGCUCCAGCUCGUUAAGGCGCAGCUCGUUCUCGCUGCCGGGCACACGCACCGUGUGCCACGUCCCCGC
Long non-coding RNA from Columba livia (rock pigeon), 1221 nucleotides. RefSeq lists it as uncharacterized. NCBI's taxonomy places the organism in Eukaryota, Metazoa, Chordata, Aves, Columbiformes, Columbidae. The record is from RefSeq and is a predicted model, not a curated record. The transcript has 2 exons.